This is a long non-coding RNA of Oncorhynchus tshawytscha (Chinook salmon), 2858 nucleotides long. The record is from Ensembl. Lineage: Eukaryota; Metazoa; Chordata; Actinopteri; Salmoniformes; Salmonidae.
CUUGUGAGCAUCGUAGAUUUGCAUGUUUCGCUCUCUGAUCGGAUUGUCUGAAUUCACUAGUUGAGUGUCAAUCACAGAAGAAAAAAAACUGAUGAAAAUAAAUUUUGAGAAUAUGUGAAUCCCUCGUCCGUUUCCCUGACCCCUGGCAAUGACAUAGACUGUGUAUAGGGCAAAGAUUUCAGCUUCGCCUGUUCCACUGAUAUGGAUUCAGCUAACAAAUAUGGAAACUCCAAUGUUCACACCAGUCUCAUACUUUUAAAUCCAUGACGGGAAGAGUGAACUUGCACACUUGGGAAAGGGUUGGGAAUCGGGACCUCAGUCUCAGGCACCUUAUUACCAGUUUGAUAUUUUGUUAUUGAUCCAAGUGGAUGAGGACAUGAUUGGGACAUAUGAAGAGAGACUGGAGGCUGCAGUAAUGUUGAGAUGCCAGUAGGAGGAGCUCUAGUCUAGAACACUGGAACCUUCAGUAGCACUUUGAUGGAGAUGAUGAGGAGUGAUGGGUCACAUCUUGUGAGGAAACACAUUAAGAAACCAUAUAGAACAGUCAACACUUUGUUGUGGAUCUGUAUUUAAAGAAGACUACAUUGAAAAUGGGCUGCAUUUAGCCCCUUUAAAACAUGUAGGCCCACUCCUCAAAUUAAGAAAUGUAAAUAGCUAUGCAGUCUUUAGCAGUACAUCCAGUACAUCCCUUUCUGACAUGCUGUUGAUGCAUGUGAUUGUCUUAAAUCCCUGACUAGGCUACUUUCACAAUGUGUCAGUCACUAAAAUCACAAUUCUUGUUUCUAUGCACAGCUACGACAGUAAGUUGACUCACUGUACAAGACCUCUCCCCCUUCACUCUACUGCAGGGUGGGAGAUGCAACAAUGGCCUUGAGAACAGCAGGAAGUGUGUUGGUGGUCUUUCUCUGGUCUGUAGCAGUGUUACUGGGUCAGGAUGGCAGGAGUGUGAAGUACAUCACUCAGAGUAUCUGUACCUUGAAGGGGUCAACAGUGGAGCUGUCCUGCUCUUACACAUAUCCCAGUGGUACAGUCACAACAACCUUCUGUUUCACUAGAAAUGAUGCUGAGGGGAAUCCUGUGACUCUGAGUGAUGAACCAGACUACACAGGUCAUGUGACGUACUGUAGCAACAAGAAGAAUGGCCACACCCUGACAAUCAGAGAUCUGAGAGAGUGUGACUCAGCUAUGUGCAAAGUGUCCAUCCUGACCCUAAAUGGGACACACACACCACUGACAAUGAGGAUCAGACACUCUGGCAUGACACGUUCACAUCUCUUCAGAGAGAUGCUCAGCACUCUGUGUAUCAGACCAUCCAGGGAAGAGAACCACCACAGAACCUGGACUGAAGAGAACCACCACAGAACCUGGACUGAAGAGAACCACCACAGAACCUGGACUGAAGAGAACCACCACAGAACCUGGACUGAAGAGAACCACCACAGAACCUGGACUGAAGAGAACCACCACAGAACAUGGACUAAAGAGAACCACCACAGAACAUGGACUAAAGAGCUAUGGCCCCAAACCAAAGCCUGACCUUACACCUCUAUUCUCUUGCUAAUAUAUUGUUAUAAUAUCUUGAAGUUUCACCCAAAUUAUAAAAUGACACAUUGGUUUCCCUUCCCUUUUAGCAGUCUAUGAACAUGGUGUGACAUCAGUCCCUGCUUUGGUUUAGUUUCCCCUGACACUGUUUCCACUUGCUAACGUUUUAGCAUUCGUGGCACAAAUCCCAUUCGUCAUGUGACUGUUAAGAGGCAUUUCUCGCACAUCAUUUCAAAAUCAAUCAAAAGUUUUAAAAAAUGCGUUGUGAAGCUUAACAAAGUCACUUCCAGAUGAUUUGAACAUGAUGAGAGAAUGUUAAUAUGUGAAAUAUUAAUAUCAGUCCCGUGACUUGAAUGGGAUUUUUGUAAAUGUGGGAGUGUUCGACAUUGCAGCCGACUUUAUAGGCAAGUCGAGAUCUACAAAUCACCUUGCAUGAUGAAUAACUACUCAAUAUUAUUUAUAGAUCAUUCAGUCAGUCACAAUGUACCCAUGAUACAUCAGUUUUGAUGCUCUCGAACACUGUCUGUGUGACUGCUGAAGGAAGCCUUCUCUGCAUAAGCUUCUUGGUCCCUGACAUAGAGUUGGAUAGAAGGUACAUCUUGACAUCUUUGUCAUGAUGUCUUCUGUGACAGAAUGAGCAGCACCAUUGAGGGCUAUUUCCAUAUUAAAGUAGUUAAUAUCUUCAACUUCCAUAAGUUUAAUAACAGUCUUUAUACCAACUGAAAUGGUGUAUUCAAUGGCUUAGCCAGGCUAAAACAGGCUUUGAAGCAAGUACGCCCUCUACUCAACUCUAUUGUCCCUGACUGCUUCAAUGUUGUGUCAACCACAGACUUCAAACCUCACACUCAGUGUCUAUUUAUAUAGACUUCCAGUAAGUUAACUUACAACACAUCUCCCCUUCACUCUGUAAGUAUGCUGGACUAUAUCUUAAAAUAUGUUUAUUUUAUCAUUUGUUUGUUUCCAUGAACUUCUGUAUCCUGUUAUGUGCAUGGUGAUGCUAUUGUAAUGUAUGUUUAGUUUUUCUGUUAUGUACAGUAUACUCUGUAGAUGUAUUUCUGCCUAGUAAUCUGAUACAGUAUUGUACAUGGGGUUACACAUAUAAUAUUUUUGCAUGGUAUUUUAAGGACUCUCAAAGCAAUAGAUUGUUGUGGAGACUUGUUUGAAAAUGACCUAAAGUAAGAUUGAGAGUAACAGUGAUUAGGUGUAUGCUUCGUAAGAGCUUUAGGAGUAAUAUUAACAUGAGACACAGUGAUGGUGGGUUGUGUUUAGGAGUAGUAUUAACAUGAGACACAGUGAUGGUGGGUUGUGUUUAGGAG